UACGGAGGGUGCAAGCGUUAAUCGGAAUUACUGGGCGUAAAGCGCACGCAGGCGGUCUGUCAAGUCGGAUGUGAAAUCCCCGGGCUCAACCUGGGAACUGCAUUCGAAACUGGCAGGCUUGAGUCUUGUAGAGGGGGGUAGAAUUCCAGGUGUAGCGGUGAAAUGCGUAGAGAUCUGGAGGAAUACCGGUGGCGAAGGCGGCCCCCUGGACGAAGACUGACGCUCAGGUGCGAAAGCGUGGGGAGCAAACAGG
This 253-nucleotide ribosomal RNA is filed under the name uncultured bacterium. RNAcentral describes it as "partial 16S ribosomal RNA". It matches the Rfam family "Bacterial small subunit ribosomal RNA", at positions 524 to 776 of the family's 1533-position model. The record is from RNAcentral.